Molecule: signal recognition particle RNA, 271 nt
Filed under: Nicotiana attenuata
Lineage: Eukaryota; Viridiplantae; Streptophyta; Magnoliopsida; Solanales; Solanaceae
Description: SRP RNA Plant_SRP
Rfam family: Plant signal recognition particle RNA
Source: Rfam by way of RNAcentral
AACGUGUUUCCCAACCGACCCACUGUUAUUUUCUGAUGGAGCACUCUAGAAGGUAGGUCUUGGUGGGCUAAUUUCUGGCCUGCCCUAUCCAAGCAUAGAGUUGGAUCAUGUGGCCCAAGCAAAAGCAUGGGUUGUUGGACUCCUAAAGUGGGGCGGACCGCGUGAGGCUGGUUCCACAAAGCAACGAAUUGCUCCCGCUCUAUGCAGUAGAAGGAUAAUGGGUUGGUGUCCUUCAAGUCCAACAAAUGCGUGAUGGGCUGCUCUAAUUAAA